RNAcentral lists this ribosomal RNA (392 nucleotides) under uncultured bacterium. Its description in RNAcentral is "bacterial SSU rRNA". It matches the Rfam family "Bacterial small subunit ribosomal RNA", at positions 618 to 1009 of the family's 1533-position model. The record is from RNAcentral.
GAACCGCAUUUGAAACUGGCAGGCUAGAGUCUUGUAGAGGGGGGUAGAAUUUCAGGUGUAGCGGUGAAAUGCGUAGAGAUCUGAAGGAAUACCAGUGGCGAAGGCGGCCCCCUGGACAAAGACUGACGCUCAGAUGCGAAAGCGUGGGUAGCAAACAGGAUUAGAUACCCUGGUAGUCCACGCCGUAAACGCUGUCUACUUGGAGGUUGAGGUUUUAGACUUUGGCUUUCGGCGCUAACGCAUUAAGUAGACCGCCUGGGGAGUACGGCCGCAAGGUUCAAACUCAAAUGAAUUGACGGGGGCCCGCACAAGCGGUGGAGCAUGUGGUUUAAUUCGAUGCAACGCGAAGAACCUUACCUACUCUUGACAUCCAGCGAAGCCUUUAGAGAUAG